UCGCUUCUCGGCCUUUUGGCUAAGAUCAAGUGUAGUAGCAUAUGUUCUCA
Molecule: small nuclear RNA, 50 nt
Filed under: Cervus elaphus hippelaphus
Lineage: Eukaryota; Metazoa; Chordata; Mammalia; Artiodactyla; Cervidae
Source: RNAcentral